CCAGCGGGUCCUGAGCUUCCGUCCGACAGACUCCCCAGCUCUGCGAGGAACUCUGGAGUGUCUGGAGAAGCCUCGGGGCUGUGCUGGAAAGAAUCUGGUGGUGGAAUCCUACCUGCCGCCGGCUUACCGGCUGUGUGGCAUGAGACAAGGCUCAUCACCUCCCUGAACUCAGCAUACUCAUCCGUAAAACGGGGCAGGUCCCAGGUUGCUGUGAAGCUCUAUGAGAGGAUGAUGUGAAAGUUAUUUACCAGUGUCAGGGAUUUGGGAACAGCCACCUCCACAUCUACAGAGCUGAUGAGAAAACCGGCCCAGAGAGGUUUAACGGUCUGGCUGAGGUCACACAGUAAGCAGGGGAGUCAGGAUCAAAUCCCAGGAAAUCUGCUCUUGGGCCAUGAGGCUGGAAUCUGCUUGCCCUGCCAGCCUGGGCCAUCCCAUUUCCAGUCCCUUGGGUCAGCUGAGGGGCGACUGGAGGCUGGUCCACUUGUGCAUCUUCCGCUCCGGGCUCAAUUCCUGCCAGGACAAAGAUUUAUCGACUCGUAACUGGAAGGGACAAGUCAUUGUUACCAUAAGUCAAAAAGGACAUAUAGUCCUGUUCAAAAUCUUUACAACAACAGGAGGUCGGAACUAUGAUUAUUACCGAGUUUGGAAGGGAUAACUUGCUCAGGGUCAUGGGACCAAGAGGAAAUCUAGCCAGAAAUUUAACCCGGGCAGUCUGGCUCCAAAAUCUGAGCGCUUGCAACCACAAUGCACAAAUGCCUCCUAGAUCAACUAGUCCGAUGUCUUUGAUGCCCAGUUAAAGAAACUAAAGCUCAGGCCCAGAGAGAGAGUACAGCCUGGCCUAUGCCACACAGCUGGCGAGAGGCAGAGCCAGGGUGAGAAGGCAGCACCCUCUUCCAGCAGUGCCCACUGGCCGUGGUCUGUACGUCCUCUGCAGACUUGCCCGGAGAACGUGGCAGCUCCUAUUCAAGGUUCUGUGUGACUAACAGACAACAGCAUCUGACACAAACAUCUGGGUAAGAUGACGCAGGAUCACCCUUCUAACUCCUCUGCCUGCCCUGCCCAGAGCCUCUUUAAACCCUGAAUUCUCCAGCCUUCUUAAUCCUACGUCUCCAGGAAACCAGAUUCCACGUGCUGAGCCCCGGGAGGGAGACGGCAGCCCAAGCACCUGGAUCUCUUUGGCUCCGGCAUCAUGAUUGAUGUGCCUCCUACCUUCUACUCCCCACACCUCAGACUCACUACUAAAGUUCCAGGGGCCCCUUUCCCUCCAGCACAGAGGGCAGGGCAGGGGGAAAGGUCCCCCUGCUUCAGGGAACAUCUGGC
Molecule: long non-coding RNA, 1320 nt
Organism: Hippopotamus amphibius kiboko
Lineage: Eukaryota; Metazoa; Chordata; Mammalia; Artiodactyla; Hippopotamidae
Exons: 5
Source: RefSeq, a predicted model, not a curated record